Molecule: long non-coding RNA, 918 nt
Filed under: Gouania willdenowi (blunt-snouted clingfish)
Lineage: Eukaryota; Metazoa; Chordata; Actinopteri; Blenniiformes; Gobiesocidae
Description: lncRNA (ENSGWIG00000008873.1)
Source: RNAcentral
ACCAGCUGAACAUCAAUCUCUAGAAGAACCAAACCUCAGCACCAACCUGUUCAUCAUGAUGAUCAGAAUCCUCUGCCUGAGCGUCCUCGUGCUGCUUUUCUGCACAGACAUUGAAGCUAAAAAAGAAAAGACCGAAAAGACCGAAAAGUUCAAAAAGUUCAAGUGUUUCACUUGUACAGAGAAAUACUGCAAAAAACAACAGUAUUGUAGUGAAGGACAGGUCUGCAUGAGCGCCUCUGUUAUCGAACUCACACAUGGACAUCAGAAUAAAUCCUACUACAGGUCCUGUACGUCACCUUCAUACUGUCCAAAGAGUGAAAAAGCAGAGACCUUGUCCAUCGGCUUGGGUUAUCAGGUGUUUGUGGCGACCGUUAAGUGCUGCAAGUCCCAUCUCUGCAACGAAAAACCUCAACCCCACCCUAAGAUACCAUCAGGAAAUGGGUUGACGUGCCUUUUCUGCAGCAACACUAAAAACCCAAAGGAAUGCAAAGUCAAGGAAUGCAUUGGAAAUCAAACUGACUGCGUGCGAGCAAUCAGAAAUGGAACUCAUCAGAGUGGGUGUGCAACUAAAAACUUCUGUCACCCCGUCAAGAUACUCGGACGCUACAAGCCUGUUAAUGGCUUCGCUGGUGCCUUCAGUUUUCCAGUUCAGUGUGAGUUACCAAAACCUGCACCUGAACCAACAACUGCUGAACCAACAACUGCUGAACCAACAACUGCUGAACCAACAACUGCUGAACCAACAACUGCUGAACCAACAACUGCUGAACCAACAACUGCUGAACCAACAACUGCUAAACCAACAACUGCUGAACCAACAACUGCUGAACCAAAGUGUGUUCCAGUUGAAACCACUCCUGAACCAACCCUUCCACCCUGUGAUAGAAAGGGAUAACUACUCCCACCACGUUAAACCAG